UACGGAGGGUGCGAGCGUUGUCCGGAAUCACUGGGCGUAAAGGGCGCGUAGGUGGCGCGGGCAGUCAACGGUGAAAGUUCGGGGCUCAACCCUGAAUCGGCCGUCGAUACUCCCGGGCUUGAGCACUGUAGAGGCUAAUGGAAUUCCGGGUGUAGCGGUGGAAUGCGUAGAGAUCCGGAAGAACACCGGUGGCGAAGGCGGUUAGCUGGGCAGUUGCUGACACUGAGGCGCGACAGCGUGGGGAGCAAACAGG
This 253-nucleotide ribosomal RNA is filed under the name uncultured bacterium. RNAcentral's name for it is "partial 16S ribosomal RNA". It matches the Rfam family "Bacterial small subunit ribosomal RNA", at positions 524 to 776 of the family's 1533-position model. The record is from RNAcentral. RNAcentral also lists the same sequence under 1 other name.